CCUACGUGAGGCUGCAGUGGGGAAUAUUGCACAAUGGGGGAAACCCUGAUGCAGCGACGCCGCGUGAGUGAAGACGUAAUUCGUUAUGUAAAGCUCUAUCAGCAGGGAAGAAAAUGACGGUACCUGAGUAAGAAGCCCCGGCUAACUACGUGCCAGCAGCCGCGGUAAUACGUAGGGGGCAAGCGUUAUCCGGAUUUACUGGGUGUAAAGGGAGCGUAGACGGCAGUGCAAGUCUGGAGUGAAAGGCGGGGGCUCAACCCCCGGACUGCUCUGGAAACUGUACGGCUGGAGUGCAGGAGAGGUAAGUGGAAUUCCUAGUGUAGCGGUGAAAUGCGUAGAUAUUAGGAGGAACACCAGUGGCGAAGGCGGCUUACUGGACUGUAACUGACGUUGAGGCUCGAAAGCGUGGGGAGCAAACAGGAUUAGAUACCCGGGUAGUC
RNAcentral lists this ribosomal RNA (440 nucleotides) under uncultured bacterium. RNAcentral describes it as "partial 16S ribosomal RNA". It matches the Rfam family "Bacterial small subunit ribosomal RNA", at positions 338 to 795 of the family's 1533-position model. The record is from RNAcentral.